Molecule: ribosomal RNA, 459 nt
Filed under: uncultured bacterium
Lineage: Bacteria
Description: bacterial SSU rRNA
Rfam family: Bacterial small subunit ribosomal RNA
Source: RNAcentral
GCACAAGCGGUGGAGCAUGUGGUUCAAUUUGAAGCAACGCGCAGAACCUUACCAGCUCUUGACAUGUCCCGUAUGAGUACCAGAGAUGGAACUCUUCAGUUCGGCUGGCGGGAACACAGGUGCUGCAUGGCUGUCGUCAGCUCGUGUCGUGAGAUGUUGGGUUAAGUCCCGCAACGAGCGCAACCCUCGCCCUUAGUUGCCAUCAUUUAGUUGGGCACUCUAAGGGGACUGCCGGUGAUAAGCCGCGAGGAAGGUGGGGAUGACGUCAAGUCCUCAUGGCCCUUACGGGUUGGGCUACACACGUGCUACAAUGGCGGUGACAGUGGGAUGCAGAGGGGUGACCCCGAGCAAAUCUCAAAAAGCCGUCUCAGUUCGGAUUGUGCCCUGCAACUCGGGCACAUGAAGUUGGAAUCGCUAGUAAUCGCAGAUCAGCACGCUGCGGUGAAUACGUUCCCGGGC